AUGGGUCGCGACAAGUCCCGGAGGCUCUCGGGCAGCCGAGACUUCCGGCAGCGGCUGGUGCUGGCGACGCUGACCUCCACCCCGAUCACCAUCAGGGACAUCCGCGCCGGCGAGGGGGGCCUCUGCCCGCACGAGAUGUCCCUCCUCCGCCUCCUCGACAAGGUCUCGGACCAGCACGUCAUCGACGUCAACGACACAGGGACGAAGGUCGGGUACAAGCCCGGGGUGAUCGUCGGCGGGAAGGGCCUGGAGCACGACUGCGGGGUGCACCGCGGGAUCGGCUACUUCAUCGAGCCGCUCCUUCUGCUCGGCCUCUUCGCCAGGUCGCCCUUGUCCGUUCGGCUCAAAGGAAUCACAAAUGAUACAAAGGACCCUUCUGUGGAUACUUUCCGGAUGGUUACGUUGCAUAUGCUCAAGCACUUUGGCGUUCCUCUUGAGGGGCUGGAGCUCAAAAUCGAAAGCCGGGGAUCUCCUCCUCGUGGUGGUGGUGAAGCAGUUAAUUGGAUUGAUGAAGGAAUGGUAAAGAGGAUAAGAGGUGUAGCAUUCUCAACGAAUGUAUCUCCACAGAUUGUAACCCGUAUCUUCUAUGCUGCACGUGGACUCUUCAAUAAGUUCAUUCCGGAUGUUCAUAUCUUCACCGACAGUAGAGCUGGUGGUUUGUCAGCAGGCUGUGGCGUAUCUGUAGUUGCUGAGACCACAACAGGCUGUCUGAUUUCUGCAGAUGCUACUGUGAGUUAUCCCAAUGUUGAUGAAAUGAGUGAACAAUCUGAGAAGCCUGAGAUAAUGUCUCCAGAGGAUCUUGGUGAGCAAGUUGCAUCGAUGCUGCUAGAAGAGGUGGCUCAAGGAGGAGUUGUUGACUCAACACACCAGGGCCUUCUGUUCAUGCUGUGCGCUCUAUGCCCGCCCGAUGUGUCAAAGGUUCGCGUGGGACAGCUGACACCGCGCGCCAUAGAAUCACUUCGAAACAUCAAGGAGUUCCUUGAUGUCAAGUUCAUCAUCAAGCCCGACCCAAACUCAAACACGGUCACUCUAAAAUGUGUUGGUGCAGGAGUGAAGAAUCUUGCUCGGAAGAUUUCAUAA
This 1080-nucleotide ribosomal RNA is filed under the name Triticum aestivum (bread wheat). RNAcentral's name for it is "partial small subunit ribosomal RNA". Lineage: Eukaryota; Viridiplantae; Streptophyta; Magnoliopsida; Poales; Poaceae. The record is from RNAcentral.